AAUAUGCGAUGAUAAUAUAUGUACCUAUAUGUAUACCUAUGUAACACGUGAUUAUUCGAGAAUUUGUUAUUUGAUGCAGUUAUGGCAUAUAACCUGUUAAAACGUUCGUUGAAAAAUGUACGAAACGGUACGCAUGACUUUCCCAUUUUCUCUUUCUGUUCGAAACGCAUCCACUUCGUCCAACGUUAUAUCAGUCGAUAAUGUGCACCGCACAGUUUCUAAGGAAAAAUAUUUUCCCGAGUUGGUCUUGAUUUACGAGAGAAGUCGAGUCGAGGUGCGGAACCGUUAUGCCCUUUGGUAUUUGUUGAAAUAAAUUGCGUUUUACUGCACCCCAAAAUUUCGCAACAUUGCGGCUAAGUAGGAGAGCCCAUCGCAUCGCGUUUCGCUGCAGGUAUAAAGUAUUCCAAACGUACAGAUCUUUUGAUUUACGAAGUCAAUGACCCACAGUGUCCUGGCACAUUAUGUACUUGCAAAAUAACUACAUCUCUGACAAAAGUUCAAUGAAAUUUCAGGUAACCAAGUCUUCGAUAUGAUUUAUGGAUAGCCCAAAACUCGGGUGUACCUAUUCAGUCAACGUCGGGCUCUAACACCUCAUACUUACCUCAAACGACUGAUCACCGAGACCGACGAUUCCUCAGGAUUUUUCGAAUUUUCACCCCGUUUAACAUUAACUCCAGGAUAUCUCGACCAACCGUUCGUCACCUUGCAGUUCGAUACGAUUGUUCUCAACUUUUUUUUCCUACAUUUCAUCUAUGUUAUAGAUAUAAUUUUUGAUCGAAUAUGCGGUACCUUUAGGAUCGCUUCAUAAAUCCGUUUGAUGUGUAAUAUCUACAUACGAUUGAUUCCAUCGUUCUCGCAUACCUCGUUCGUCCUUCGAUUGUCCAAGCGCAUAAUAACCUGCGUCAUGAACCCGCCUUUGUGUCGACACAAUCGCAAAAUUUAUCCAACGACAAAUUCUAAGCAGUACAUAUAUACAAACGUGUGUGCGUAUGUGUCUGUAAAAUAUUUUCAUAUAUUAUACGAUCGUUUCUACAAUCUAUACCAUAAUACACCCAGAGGCUAUAGCUGGCUUACGGCGGACACAUCGGGUCUGAUAAUUAAUUCAAGGACUUUUUUAUCGGCUAUUCAUCUAUUAUUGAACGAAUUAUAUGUAUUAUGGCACGUCUUUGAAAAGAACAUCGCCAUAGAGAAGCUUGCGGAAGACGUUAAAAAUGAGAUGGAUGAAGAAAAAAGAAAACAUCGAUAAGACGUAGAUGAAGAUACCGAAUAUAAAAAAUCAGAAAAUCUGUACUUGGAAUGAUUACAGCUGUAACGUCGACGUACAUCGUGAUACGGGAAUUGCAUAUUAUAUUAGAGAUGAAAACCUUGAACAAAUAGAUGCACAUAAUGUACAGUACAUAGGAAAUAGCAAACGUCGACGACAAUCGUAGAUUUAAUAGUUUAAGUUCAGAGAGGCGAAUAGAGCUUUGCCGGGGUCGCUCUCUGAGUGUUGUAAAUGACGUCAGUGGCGGAUGGCGAGAUGAAGUUCAAGGUCCUUGCGUGGAUGUAUGGCGCAUCGCCCACGCCUCGUCAGUGGAAAAUAGAAACCGGGGAAUCGGUUUUACUGACAACACGCGGUAGAUCUCAAACAACGUCACCUGAUGUUGGACCGAUUCCACCAGUUGAUAUCUAGAUGACUUUGAUUCGCAUUAUUUUUUGACUCGAUAAAUCGCAUCCAAAAUGAUCAAACCCCUCGUCUGAAAUGGAACGCUUUUCCGAGGAGUAACACGUACGUGUUGGGGUAGGAUCAAAUCGAAUUUCAUCAACAAAUAUUUCACGGAGCAAUCGUCACUAAUACUGAUAAAAUAAUCAGUUGUUCUAUUCCCUUGUGCCCCUGGAUACGACUUAACAUUGUACGUACGUAUAGGUAUACGUUAGUCACAAUUUGUUUGUUUUAUUACUUAUUCUUUUUGCUCUGUAUUGCUGGUGCCACUGGUGCAUCGAUACGAUGCAAUAUACGAAGCGUCGCCGCGUGCAACGGACUUUAAACGGCGAACGCCUGCCCCGCUUCGACCGCGAUGACCUUGGCCUUGACAUCGACCGCAGCGUCCCGACGCUACGCAGUUGCAUCAUCAUCACACUUGUUAGAUGAGCUGGCAACACAGCGACUGACAGGUGGGCGGAAUGUGGAAAAAUAUUCCAGGGGUGGAGGGAGGGUCCACGACCUUGUAGUGACCCUUCACACCUGCUGGCCUUAUCGCUCGCUUCUGCAUAGAAUGUUUUUUGGCAACAACAUACGUCACCUCCUUCCUCGGCUCCUUGUGUGCUUUCCUGUACAAUCUGGAACCGCCAAAUUGGAGUCUGCUUCAGAACCCACACCAAAGGAUGGUAAUCUUUAGACCGGAAUACUUUGGUAAUGAACCAUCCCCCAGGCCUGAGAAAUUGUGUGGCAAGUUUGAGAGCUGAAAGAGUGAGGCACGCCUGUUGAUAGGCAUCAUGG
Athalia rosae (coleseed sawfly) is the source of this 2479-nucleotide long non-coding RNA. RefSeq lists it as uncharacterized. The transcript has 5 exons. The record is from RefSeq and is a predicted model, not a curated record. Lineage: Eukaryota; Metazoa; Arthropoda; Insecta; Hymenoptera; Athaliidae.